Molecule: long non-coding RNA, 366 nt
Organism: Acipenser ruthenus (sterlet)
Lineage: Eukaryota; Metazoa; Chordata; Actinopteri; Acipenseriformes; Acipenseridae
Exons: 2
Source: RefSeq, a predicted model, not a curated record
CAACGUUUUAAGAAGCCAUUCAAAGUCAAGCACGCUGGUCAUAAAACUUUCAACAGGAUGAUUGAGGAUUACCACCUGUCCGUCUUCACGAACAUGCUUGGAGUUACUGUGAUUUGUGAUUUGUUGUGUUAAAAUACAAAGCGUUUCUUAAGUACACGUUUAAUUGUAUUUUAUUUUAUCUUUACAGUUAAGUAUAAACUAGAACCAGCCCAAACUUGAAAAGCUGCCAACUGGAAAUAUGUUUGUCCAAGACAUCAUGAGGAAUACUGUUAAAGAACUGCAAAAAGAGUAAAUUAUUAUACAUACUGUAUAUUUUUUUGUAACCUCUUUUUAAAUAAAGAACGACUACGUUCAGUGUGCACUGUU